UGGUUCGGGCAUCGAUGAAGAACGCAGCGAAAUGCGAUAAGUAAUGUGAAUUGCAGAACUCAGCGAAUCAUCGAAUCUUUGAACGCACAUUGCGCCCGGGAGUAUUCUCCCGGGCAUGCCUGUUCGAGCGUCAUUUCAACCCUCGCGCCCAGCGCGGUGUUGGGGCCCUGCGGCUGCCGCAGGCCCUGAAAUCCAGUGGCGGGCUCGCCAGGACUCCCAGCGCAGUAGCUUAACCUCGCUGUGGAUUACUGGUUGGUUCCAGCCGUGAAACACUUCUUUUACAAGGUUGACCUCGGAUCAGGUAGGAAUACCCGCUGA
Molecule: unclassified non-coding RNA, 318 nt
Filed under: uncultured fungus
Lineage: Eukaryota; Fungi
Description: partial contains 5.8S ribosomal RNA and internal transcribed spacer 2
Rfam family: 5.8S ribosomal RNA (bases 1-133)
Source: RNAcentral